ACCUGGCUGGCUCAGUUGGUAGAGCACAUGGCUGUUGACCUUGAGGUUGUAAGUUCGAGUCCCAUGUUGAAUG
This 73-nucleotide transfer RNA is filed under the name Felis catus (domestic cat). It matches the Rfam family "tRNA". Rfam says of the family: Transfer RNA (tRNA) molecules are approximately 80 nucleotides in length. Their secondary structure includes four short double-helical elements and three loops (D, anti-codon, and T loops). Further hydrogen bonds mediate the characteristic L-shaped molecular structure. tRNAs have two regions of fundamental functional importance: the anti-codon, which is responsible for specific mRNA codon recognition, and the 3' end, to which the tRNAs corresponding amino acid is attached (by aminoacyl-tRNA synthetases). tRNAs cope with the degeneracy of the genetic code in two manners: having more than one tRNA (with a specific anti-codon) for a particular amino acid; and 'wobble' base-pairing, i.e. permitting non-standard base-pairing at the 3rd anti-codon position. The record is from Rfam by way of RNAcentral. Lineage: Eukaryota; Metazoa; Chordata; Mammalia; Carnivora; Felidae.